UACGGAGGAUGCGAGCGUUAUCCGGAUUUAUUGGGUUUAAAGGGUGCGCAGGCGGGAAUUUAAGUCAGCGGUGAAAUCUCGACGCUCAACGUCGAAACUGCCAUUGAAACUGGAUUUCUUGAGUAUAGAUGAAGUAGGCGGAAUUCGUUGUGUAGCGGUGAAAUGCAUAGAUAUAACGAGGAACCCCAAUUGCGUAGGCAGCUUACUAAACUAUAACUGACGCUCAAGCACGAAAGCGUGGGUAUCAAACAGG
RNAcentral lists this ribosomal RNA (253 nucleotides) under uncultured bacterium. Its description in RNAcentral is "partial 16S ribosomal RNA". It matches the Rfam family "Bacterial small subunit ribosomal RNA", at positions 524 to 776 of the family's 1533-position model. The record is from RNAcentral.